Molecule: ribosomal RNA, 556 nt
Filed under: uncultured Actinomycetes bacterium
Lineage: Bacteria; Bacillati; Actinomycetota; Actinomycetes
Description: bacterial SSU rRNA
Rfam family: Bacterial small subunit ribosomal RNA
Source: RNAcentral
GGCAGCAGCAGGGAAUAUUGCGCAAUGAGCGAAAGCUUGACGCAGCGACACCGCGUGUGGGAUGACGGUUCUAGGAUUGUAAACCACUUUCAGGAGGGAAGAAAAUGACGGUACCUCCACAAGAAGACCCGGCCAACUACGUGCCAGCAGCCGCGGUAAUACGUAGGGGUCAAGCGUUGUCCGGAUUUAUUGGGCGUAAAGAGCUCGUAGGCGGUUCAACAAGUCGGUCGUAAAAGUUUAGGGCUCAACCCUAAAAUGUCGAUCGAUACUGUUGUGACUAGGAUACGGUAGAGGUGAAUGGAAUUCCGAGUGUAGCGGUGAAAUGCGUAGAUAUUCGGAGGAACACCAAUUGCGAAGGCAGUUCACUGGACCGUGAUCGACGCUGAGGAGCGAAAGCUAGGGGAGCAAACAGGAUUAGAUACCCUGGUAGUCCUAGCUGUAAACGAUGGAUACUAGAUGUAGGAACUGGAUUGACGGUUUCUGUAUCGUAGCUAACGCGUUAAGUAUCCCGCCUGGGGAGUACGGUCGCAAGACUAAAACUCAAAGGAAUUGACGG